ACUAGCAGUAAGAGUUUGAUCAUGGCUCAGGACGAACGCUGGCGGCACGCCUAACACAUGCAAGUCGAGCGCCGUAGCAAUACGGAGCGGCAGACGGGUGAGUAACGCGUGGGAACGUGCCCUUUGCUUCGGAAUAGCCCUGGGAAACUGGGGGUAAUACCGGAUGUGCCCUGAGGGGGAAAGGUUUACCGGCAAGGGAUCGGCCCGCGUUGGAUUAGGUAGUUGGUGGGGUAAUGGCCUACCAAGCCGACGAUCCAUAGCUGGUUUGAGAGGAUGAUCAGCAACACUGGGACUGAGACACGGCCCAGACUCCUACGGGAGGCAGCAGUGGGGAAUCUUGGACAAUGGGGGAAACCCUGAUCCAGCCAUGCCGCGUGGGUGAUGAAGGCCUUAGGGUCGUAAAGCCCUUUCGCCGGGGAAGAUAAUGACGGUACCCGGUAAAGAAGCCCCGGCUAACUCCGUGCCAGCCGCCGCGGUAAUAC
RNAcentral lists this ribosomal RNA (482 nucleotides) under uncultured bacterium. RNAcentral describes it as "bacterial SSU rRNA". It matches the Rfam family "Bacterial small subunit ribosomal RNA", at positions 1 to 526 of the family's 1533-position model. The record is from RNAcentral.